UCUUUCAGCAGCAGCCUGUCUCUCCCCGCUGGAAGCAGAGCUGGAGUUCCCUCCUCGCUGCCCUGGAGUCUGUGCGGGUGACGGCGCACACCCCCCCAGCUUCACCCAUCUCCCGGCGCGGGGGGCCGAGCGGGAGAGGCUUGCACCCAGCAGCUUUCUCCUCCCCCCGCUGCUCCCGCUGCCUUCUCACCAACGACGACGUGCCUGCUCCCAGUUUAACAACUGCUCAGGGCACCUAACCCAGCAGUCAAUUAGCGCCGGACUACCCAGUCGAUAAGCCAGCUGCGCCUGUCAAAUCUCCGUGUAGGAGUUCGGCGCGCAAUUAGCAAAUGAUGAAAGGUUAGAUUUCGCUGCGAUCUACCCACUGACGGUCCCCGUGCUCCCUCCUGUCCUGCAGCCCUCGCUUCUCCGGCUCCCCUUCGCUCCUGGGGAUUCCUGACACGCAGCAAACUGUGCUCGGAUUUCAGCCCUCCGAAUGCAAGCAGCGCCUUUUCAUCAUCCCAGCUCCAGUGAAUCAACCCCAGAUUACAGCGCACCAUCAAUCAUCUACCACCUAUACCAACGGCGAGGCUUCUGCAAACACAACUGGCAGCAGAACGCCGGAGAUUGUCGAUGUUUUUUGAGCAACCACCUUUCCUGUUACAAGUCUCCAUUUCUGGAGCUUCCCAAUGAUUCACAAUGGAAAUAGCUCCACAGCCUGAGGAUCCUAACCCUGGGCCUCAACCUCCAUCAGCAACAGCCAGCCUGAUCCUCAGGGAUCCAAGGUGGAUCCACAGACCUUCAAGGGACAAAGAACCUGAGAUGUAAACUGGUACAAUAGUUAUAUUGCACCACCUCGAUGUCAUAAACAGGUGACAUCCUUAGCUGUUCCUGGGUCAAAACCAGGUGAAACUUGCCACGUGGGGUUCUCUUGGUUUAUUCUAGAUGAAGGCAAGCAAGUAGGGACCUCACCUACAAUCUGCCAGUGGGUUUUCCCUGGACAAGACAGUAGGACUCCCUGUACACACUGUCUUCUAGCUCGUUAACUACAACAUGGGUGAGCCUGACCCAGGCCUGGUCGUUUUUCCAAAAGUCUCACAAAGUCGGUGGGUGGAGUUUGGGAGGUGGGGGUGGUAGUGUUUUGGGGAUUUUUUUAUUCCAUCUUCUCACAAAUUCUCAUGACUAGAAUCCCACAUGCCCUUUUUUCCUUUUUCUUAAAGCAUAGUUUCUGGCCACUUCUGGUGCAAAUAAAGGCUUGAAUAAUAAGCCCCA
This 1251-nucleotide long non-coding RNA is filed under the name Calidris pugnax (ruff). Its description in RNAcentral is "lncRNA (ENSCPUG00000017906.1)". The record is from RNAcentral. Lineage: Eukaryota; Metazoa; Chordata; Aves; Charadriiformes; Scolopacidae.